RNAcentral lists this ribosomal RNA (1543 nucleotides) under Salmonella enterica. RNAcentral describes it as "16S ribosomal RNA". It matches the Rfam family "Bacterial small subunit ribosomal RNA". Lineage: Bacteria; Pseudomonadati; Pseudomonadota; Gammaproteobacteria; Enterobacterales; Enterobacteriaceae. RNAcentral also lists the same sequence under 1 other name. The record is from RNAcentral.
AAAUUGAAGAGUUUGAUCAUGGCUCAGAUUGAACGCUGGCGGCAGGCCUAACACAUGCAAGUCGAACGGUAACAGGAAGCAGCUUGGCUGCUUUGCUGACGAGUGGCGGACGGGUGAGUAAUGUCUGGGAAACUGCCUGAUGGAGGGGGAUAACUACUGGAAACGGUGGCUAAUACCGCAUAACGUCGCAAGACCAAAGAGGGGGACCUUCGGGCCUCUUGCCAUCAGAUGUGCCCAGAUGGGAUUAGCUUGUUGGUGAGGUAACGGCUCACCAAGGCGACGAUCCCUAGCUGGUCUGAGAGGAUGACCAGCCACACUGGAACUGAGACACGGUCCAGACUCCUACGGGAGGCAGCAGUGGGGAAUAUUGCACAAUGGGCGCAAGCCUGAUGCAGCCAUGCCGCGUGUAUGAAGAAGGCCUUCGGGUUGUAAAGUACUUUCAGCGGGGAGGAAGGUGUUGUGGUUAAUAACCGCAGCAAUUGACGUUACCCGCAGAAGAAGCACCGGCUAACUCCGUGCCAGCAGCCGCGGUAAUACGGAGGGUGCAAGCGUUAAUCGGAAUUACUGGGCGUAAAGCGCACGCAGGCGGUCUGUCAAGUCGGAUGUGAAAUCCCCGGGCUCAACCUGGGAACUGCAUUCGAAACUGGCAGGCUUGAGUCUUGUAGAGGGGGGUAGAAUUCCAGGUGUAGCGGUGAAAUGCGUAGAGAUCUGGAGGAAUACCGGUGGCGAAGGCGGCCCCCUGGACAAAGACUGACGCUCAGGUGCGAAAGCGUGGGGAGCAAACAGGAUUAGAUACCCUGGUAGUCCACGCCGUAAACGAUGUCUACUUGGAGGUUGUGCCCUUGAGGCGUGGCUUCCGGAGCUAACGCGUUAAGUAGACCGCCUGGGGAGUACGGCCGCAAGGUUAAAACUCAAAUGAAUUGACGGGGGCCCGCACAAGCGGUGGAGCAUGUGGUUUAAUUCGAUGCAACGCGAAGAACCUUACCUGGUCUUGACAUCCACAGAACUUUCCAGAGAUGGAUUGGUGCCUUCGGGAACUGUGAGACAGGUGCUGCAUGGCUGUCGUCAGCUCGUGUUGUGAAAUGUUGGGUUAAGUCCCGCAACGAGCGCAACCCUUAUCCUUUGUUGCCAGCGGUCCGGCCGGGAACUCAAAGGAGACUGCCAGUGAUAAACUGGAGGAAGGUGGGGAUGACGUCAAGUCAUCAUGGCCCUUACGACCAGGGCUACACACGUGCUACAAUGGCGCAUACAAAGAGAAGCGACCUCGCGAGAGUAAGCGGACCUCAUAAAGUGCGUCGUAGUCCGGAUUGGAGUCUGCAACUCGACUCCAUGAAGUCGGAAUCGCUAGUAAUCGUGGAUCAGAAUGCCACGGUGAAUACGUUCCCGGGCCUUGUACACACCGCCCGUCACACCAUGGGAGUGGGUUGCAAAAGAAGUAGGUAGCUUAACCUUCGGGAGGGCGCUUACCACUUUGUGAUUCAUGACUGGGGUGAAGUCGUAACAAGGUAACCGUAGGGGAACCUGCGGUUGGAUCACCUCCUUA